UGCAAUAAUCAUAAUUGUAUAAUAAUAAUUGUCUCAAAAUAAUUGGCUAUCAUGCAUCUUGGCAUGCUCUCCACCAGUGUUUGACAUUGAUAUUGGGUGAUUUUAUGCCAUUCCUGGUGCAAAUAUUCAACCAGCUCAGCAUUGUUUGAUGGCUUGUGACAAUCCAUUUACUCUUGAAAGAAAAUGCAGGUCUCAAUAUUUUCCUGAGCUCUAGGGUAAUUAUUCUGAGAGUUAAUGUGGAGAUCCAUUUUCUGCAACUAUGCUCUUAUGAAACAUGAUCACAUUGCCUGUAUCUGUGAACUCUCUUUGUAAUGUCCACCUUUGAAAAAUGUUGUUAUUAUGUAAUGGGUAGAACAUUAUAUGACACUCUUCUUUUGUUAUAAGGUCCUUUAGAAUCUGACACUGUGGUGCUCACCCUUACCCCAUGUGCGGAGGAAAAUGAAUCUGACUCUGUGGUGCUCACCCUUAACCCAUGUGUGGAGGAAAAUGAAACUGUGUGUGAGGAUUCUGCUGGACCAGAUGCUGCAGUGACAGAAUCCACGAUGGAUGUUGCUGAGUGUGAAGACAUGGCACAAACAACAUUCCGUGGUGAUUUGGUUCAGCCUGCAGAGCACGUCAAGGACACCAAAAACACAGAAGUUGUCCCAAAAAAGAAAGGGAGAAAAAGUUGUCAAAAGACACGUCUGCCAUGCGAGGAAUGUGCAGAGCGGACAUCGUCCGGAAACUUUCUUUAUUCAAAGAUUCUAAAAACAAGAGGGGAUCUGGUAUUUAUUCGAUGGCGUCCGUGUGCGACCUGUGGGACCAAAUGGAAGAACAGUUGGGAACCUUUGUCCUGCCUUUGAGAUGUUGGAGUUAGCACCAGAGAAGCAGGGUUAUCCAGAGAAGCAGGGUCAUACAGUGUACUGUACAGUCAGUUGAGUUAUUAUGGCUUGUGGGUUUCUUAGCCUACUGGUGUGUUCGUUGAUACUCAGGUACUAUUUUAAAGAAUAGGUUAUUUGUUUUCGGAUGUUCUAUCUUUUAAAUGUAUAUUUAUUUUGCUUAAGGAACCCAUUUUAAAUAAAGUGCAUGUUUGUAUCA
This is a long non-coding RNA of Cyprinus carpio (common carp), 1077 nucleotides long. Lineage: Eukaryota; Metazoa; Chordata; Actinopteri; Cypriniformes; Cyprinidae. The record is from Ensembl.